GGCGGCGUGCCUAACACAUGCAAGUCGAGCGAGGAGAUCCUUCGGGAUGAUCCUAGCGGCGGACGGGUGAGUAACACGUGGGCAACCUGCCUUAUAGAGAGGAAUAGCCUUCCGAAAGGGAGAUUAAUACCUCAUAACAUUGCAGUUUCGCAUGGAACAGCAAUUAAAGGAGCAAUCCGCUAUGAGAUGGGCCCGCGGCGCAUUAGCUAGUUGGUGAGGUAACGGCUCACCAGGGCGACGAUGCGUAGCCGACCUGAGAGGGUGAUCGGCCACAUUGGGACUGAGACACGGCCCAGACUCCUACGGGAGGCAGCAGUGGGGAAUAUUGCACAAUGGGGGAAACCCUGAUGCAAGCAACGCCGCGUGAGUGAUGACGGCCUUCGGGUUGUAAAGCUCUGUCUUCAGGGACGAUAAUGACGGUACCUGAGGAGGAAGCCACGGCUAACUACGUGCCAGCAGCGGC
This 463-nucleotide ribosomal RNA is filed under the name uncultured bacterium. RNAcentral's name for it is "bacterial SSU rRNA". It matches the Rfam family "Bacterial small subunit ribosomal RNA", at positions 38 to 518 of the family's 1533-position model. The record is from RNAcentral.